AAAUGUUCACAUAAAUAAAGACAAGCGGUGGCUGCCACAGAGAGGUUCAGAGGAAGAGAGAGAGAGAAAGCCAGGCAGUGGAUGAUGGCAAGCCACCAACGAACCCAUCCACCCACCCACAGACGGUUUUAAUUAAGCCGCCAUGCAAAUGAGCAGCAACUGGUUUGUUGGGUUUUUUUUUGUUGCCAGGAUGGGGAUCCAGGUUGGGGGCGUCUCUAGAUCGGUCUCGGCUGUGCGAUUAAUUGCGCUGAAAUUGGCGCGGAAUUUCCAUGCAAAUGCGGGACAAGUGAAAGCCGCCGCAUCCACAGCCGGUGGCUUCUUUAUUUCCUCAGAUAACGAUCGGACUUUGCUGCAGAAGAGACCCACCGCAACUGCAUGUGUCUCCCCAGCCGCCAGCCGCAACUCUAUGACAGGGCUUCAUCUGUAGCUAGGCCCAGCAAAUCACUUAACAAUCAAUAGCAGCCACAGCAACGACAAUCUGCGACACUUUUCCAAACUCGUUUCCCAACAAGAUGUUGAUGUGGGACUGGGCCAGAGCUCUGGUCUCUUCUGGCUGCCUUGCCGGCGAACGCGUUAGAUUAAUUUCCAAAGGCUGUCAUUAAAAUUCCAGCGCAAUGCAAUUUAUAUGCCACACACAUGCGGCAAUGGCUUAGGCCAGGUCUCGGGCAUCAGGCAAUUUUUAAUAAAAACAGCUUCAUAUUUAUGAUAUCAGAAUAUGGCUAAGAAAAACCGAACCAGACUUCCACUGGGUACCACGCGCCGCUCGUUAGCCCCAAACGCGACUUAUAGAUGGUUUGCAGCUUCGCUGGUUAGAGGAUAAGAGGGGUCUCGGUCUCGGUCCCGUUCCCGGUCCCGGUCCCAGUCCCUGCCCCAGAGACAACAUCAUCAUCAGUGCACCGAGCGAACCAACGAACGAACGAACGAAACGCUUCGUACUGUUGAAAUUUGCAUGACAAACUCAAACUCAGCCAUCAAUCAUAUCGUGGAGCAAAACUGCAGUUGCAUUUUCU
Molecule: long non-coding RNA, 1010 nt
Filed under: Drosophila guanche
Lineage: Eukaryota; Metazoa; Arthropoda; Insecta; Diptera; Drosophilidae
Source: RNAcentral